Molecule: ribosomal RNA, 713 nt
Filed under: uncultured Spiroplasma sp.
Lineage: Bacteria; Bacillati; Mycoplasmatota; Mollicutes; Entomoplasmatales; Spiroplasmataceae
Description: bacterial SSU rRNA
Rfam family: Bacterial small subunit ribosomal RNA
Source: RNAcentral
GAGUUUGAUCAUGGCUCAGGAUUAACGCUGGCGGCAUGCCUAAUACAUGCAAGUCGAACGGAGUAGCAAUACUUAGUGGCGAACGGGUGAGUAACACGUAUCUAAUCUACCAUUUAGUGGGGAAUAACUGUUGGAAACGACAGCUAAUACCGCAUAAUAUUGCUGGAUAAUUUCCAGUAAUGAAAGGAGCUUUCAAGCUCCGCUGAUUGAUGAGGAUGCGGCGCAUUAGCUAGUUGGUAGGGUAAUGGCCUACCAAGGCAAUGAUGCGUAGCCGAUCUGAGAGGAUGAACGGCCACAUUGGGACUGAGACACGGCCCAAACUUCUACGGAAGGCAGCAGUAGGGAAUUUUUCACAAUGGGCGAAAGCCUGAUGGAGCAAUGCCGCGUGACUGAUGAAGGCCUUCGGAUUGUAAAGGUCUGUUGUAAGGGAAGAAAUGGUAAAACAGGAAAUGGUUUUAUCUAUGACGGUACCUUACCAGAAAGCCACGGCUAACUAUGUGCCAGCAGCCGCGGUAAUACAUAGGUGGCAAGCGUUAUCCGGAUUUAUUGGGCGUAAAGGGUGCGUAGACGGUUUUGCAAGUCUGAGGUUAAAUUUAGGAGCUCAACUCCUAAUCGCCUUGGAAACUACAAGACUAGAGUAUAGGGAGAGGUUAGUGGAAUUCCAUGUGUAGCGGUGGAAUGUGUAGAUAUAUGGAGGAACACCAGUGGCGAAG